AUUUGGUGUAAAUACAAAUAACAUAUAUGUAGAUGAUAUAUUAAUUAAUAUGGAUUCUGAAAGGUUAAGUUUUACUAACAGAAAUAGUGACGGUAAUAGUGACGGUAAUAGUGACGGUAAUAGUGGCGGUAAUAGUAGCGGUAAUAGUGGUGGUAAUAGUGGCUGUAAUGAUAUUGAAAAUAGUGACAACCCAAACGAAAGUAGCGGUGAGCAACAUAAUCCUACUAUAGAACAUAUUAAUAACAUAAAUGUCACAAAUAUAACAAAAGUUCCUCUUAAUAAAAAUAGUAGUUGUGAAAUGUUAGAUGAAAAUGAGGAUGUGUCCUAUUAUAACAACGAAAUUAACACAUCACAUGAACUAUGUAUUAAUGGUAGAAGAUAUGACAAUUCAGAUAUUUAUGAAAUAAAUAAGAAUAAAACUUUUUAUAAUUAUUAUAAUAAUCAUCAACAUGGAGAAAAAAAAAUAGAACAACAUACAGAGAACACAGAAGAGUGUACUGAAAAUAAUGAAACACAAAAUGAAGAAAUAAAAAUAAAUUUUGAUGAAACGUAUGAACUGUCUGAUGCAGAUAAUACAUUUUGGCAAAAUAACAGAAAUGUAGAUGAAUCUAUAAUGGGUACAAUUUUAAUGAUUGAAAAAAUAAAAAAAAUAAAAAUAAAAAUGUUGAUAGUUCCAAAUAAAUAUGUAUUAUUACAAAUGAAUACAGAAAAUGGUAAUAAUAAUGGUAGUGGUAGUAGUGGUAGUAAUACGAGUAGUAGUACUACUAGUAGUAUUAUUAGUGGACAUAAUUAUGAAGAGUUAAGAAAACUUCUAUUAAAUGAAAAAAUAUUAUUAUGUUAUAAACUAUUUAAUUAUUAUAAUAAUCAAUCUGCUUAUGUAUAUCACCAUGAAAAUCAACUGUCAGUAUAUAAUAAUCUAAAUAAAAAUCAAAAUGUAAAUGGAAGCCAAAAUGUAAAUGAAAAACAAAAUGUAAAUGAAAAACAAAAUGUAAAUAAAAACAACGAAAAUGUAAAUAAAAACAACGAAAAUGUAAAUGAAAACAACGAAAUUGUAGCUGUAAAUAAUAACAGAAAGGAAAAUGAACUGAGUAAUGAUGAUACAGCAAUGGAUAAAAUGGGUGCGACACAAAACUGGACUAUUACAAAUGAGCAAGAUAUUUCAAUAAUGAAUAUAAAUAAUGUCAGUGUUCAAAUGAAACGAAUAAUAAAAGAACAAAAUAAAAAUGAUUUUGUUAUUAAUACUGAGGUGAGUGAUCAAACGGAUCAGCAAUUGGAUAGUCUCAUGGAUAACCAAACGGGCAGCCAAACGGACAACCAAAUGAGUAACUAAAUGAAGAAAUACAAAAAAGUGAACAAAAAAAGGUGAAUAAAAAAAAAGAAAAAUCAACCCCGAAAUAACGC
This 1401-nucleotide long non-coding RNA is filed under the name Piliocolobus tephrosceles (Ugandan red Colobus). RNAcentral describes it as "lncRNA (ENSPTEG00000009997.1)". Lineage: Eukaryota; Metazoa; Chordata; Mammalia; Primates; Cercopithecidae. The record is from RNAcentral.